AUGGUCGCGGGUAAAAAAUAAGUUAGAGGAGGAAAAGGAGGACAAGAAGGAGAAGAGUGUGGAGAGAAAGAAGAGGGGAAAGAAUGGAUACUGGCGAGAAGGAAUGGAGGUGGAAGGGGCCACCAUAAAAGAAUGACUUGUGGAUGAUUUGGAGGAAAAAGAGGAUGAGGAGGUGAAAUAAAUGAGAAGAAAAGAAAGAAGGUGGAGAAAGCCACCAUAGAGGAGGAGAAAUAAGUAAAAAGGAAGGGGAGAGACAAAAAAUUUUUAUCGAUGAGAAGGGAUGGAUGUAGAGGGAGCCAUCUAAAAAGAUAGGCCUCAUGGAUUGGUUUGGAGGAGAAAACGAAUGAGGAGAAGAAAGAGAAUGAGGAGGAAGAGAAGGAGAGAGGGGCCACUGGUAAAGAAAAUGGUGGAGGAUGAGGAGAAGAGAAUAGGGAGGAAGAAGAUGGGAAAGAUGAGAAAGGACAAAGAUGGAGGAUGUCACCGUGAAGGUGGAUGGUUUAUGGACGGCUUAGAGGAGGAAGAUGAGAAGAAGAAGAAGCAGAUGGAGAGGAAGAGGAGAUGGUGGAAUGGGUGGAGAAAGGAGAGGAGGAUAAAGGAGGAGGGAAAAAGGGGAGG
RNAcentral lists this long non-coding RNA (615 nucleotides) under Elaeis guineensis (African oil palm). Its description in RNAcentral is "long non-coding RNA (EGUI_LNC007087)". The record is from RNAcentral. Lineage: Eukaryota; Viridiplantae; Streptophyta; Magnoliopsida; Arecales; Arecaceae.